GCAUACUUAGAUGGUUGUUUGAUGGUAAGCAAACAUAGAUUGGAGUAACUUUCAGCAUUGGCUGCAUAGGGAUCACAAUGGAUCGAGUAUUAGUUGAGUCAACCAAUAUUCAUAUCCAUUUUGUAAUUAAAACUUCUGUACUCAUAUCUACUACGUAUUUAUUUUGGAUUGGAUUGAGUUAGACAAAGUAGAUAGUGUGGAUUGGAUCGAGUUAGAUAAACAAAAUA
Molecule: long non-coding RNA, 227 nt
Filed under: Elaeis guineensis (African oil palm)
Lineage: Eukaryota; Viridiplantae; Streptophyta; Magnoliopsida; Arecales; Arecaceae
Description: long non-coding RNA (EGUI_LNC030758)
Source: RNAcentral